GUAGCGCAAUGGAUAGCGCGUUGGACUUCUAAUCCAAAUGUCGUGGGUUCGAAUCCCCCUCUCA
Molecule: transfer RNA, 64 nt
Filed under: Trichonephila clavata
Lineage: Eukaryota; Metazoa; Arthropoda; Arachnida; Araneae; Nephilidae
Description: tRNA-Arg
Rfam family: tRNA
About the family: Transfer RNA (tRNA) molecules are approximately 80 nucleotides in length. Their secondary structure includes four short double-helical elements and three loops (D, anti-codon, and T loops).
Source: RNAcentral